Molecule: long non-coding RNA, 1246 nt
Organism: Acyrthosiphon pisum (pea aphid)
Lineage: Eukaryota; Metazoa; Arthropoda; Insecta; Hemiptera; Aphididae
Exons: 10
Source: RefSeq, a predicted model, not a curated record
GCAGACAAAGAUAUACACUUUUACCGGACUAACAUCAAUGGAAAAAUCCAUGUGUACUUUAUAUUGAGUUUCAAGAUGAUGCGUUUUUUGCAGACAAAGAUAUACACUUUUACCGGACUAACAUCAAUGGAAAAAUCCAUGUGUACUUUAUAUUGAGUUUCAAGAUGAUGCGUUUUUUGCAGACAAAGAUAUACACUUUUACCGGACUAACAUCAAUGGAAAAAUCCAUGUGUACUUUAUAUUGAGUUUCAAGAUGAUGCGUUUUUUGCAGACAAAGAUAUACACUUUUACCGGACUAACAUCAAUGGAAAAAUCCGUGAGCUCCGUUCAUUACAGUUAAAGUCUUCUUUGAUCGUCCAAAUUAAAUUUGAAUGAUGUGUUCUUUAUAUUGAGUUUCAAGAUGAUGCGUUUUUUGCGGAAAGAUAUACACUUUUACCGGACUAACAUCAAUGGAAAAAUCCGUGAGCUCCGUUCAUUACAGUUAAAGUCUUCUUUGAUCGUCCAAAUUAAAUUUGAAUGAUGUGUACUUUAUAUUGAGUUUCAAGAUGAUGCGUUUUUUGCAGACAAAGAUAUACACUUUUACCGGACUAACAUCAAUGGAAAAAUCCGUGAGCUCCUUUCAUUACAGUUAAAGUCUUCUUUGAUCGUCCAAAUUAAAUUUGAAUGAUGUGUACUUUAUAUUGAGUUUAAGGAUGAUGCGUUUUUUGCGGAAAGAUUUACACUUUAACCGGACUAACAUCAAUGGAAAAAUCCGUGAGCUCCGUUCAUUACAGUUAAAGUCUUCUUUGAUCGUCCAAAUUAAAUUUGAAUGAUGUGUACUUUAUAUUGAGUUUCAAGAUGAUGCGUUUUUUGCAGACAAAGAUAUACACUUUUACCGGACUAACAUCAAUGGAAAAAUCCGUGAGCUCCGUUCAUUACAGUUAAAGUCUUCUUUGAUCGUCCAAAUUAAAUUUGAAUGAUGUGUACUUUAUAUUGAGUUUCAAGAUGAUGCGUUUUUUGCAGACAAAGAUAUACACUUUUACCGGACUAACAUCAAUGGAAAAAUCCGUGAGCUCCGUUCAUUACAGUUAAAGUCUUCUUUGAUCGUCCGAUUUAAAUUUGAAUGAUGUGUACUUUAUAUUGAGUUUCAAGAUGAUGCGUUUUUUGCAGACAAAGAUAUACACUUUUACCGGACUAACAUCAAUGGAAAAAUCCGUGAGCUCCUUUCAUUACAGUUAAAGUCUUCUUUGAUCGUCCAAAUUAAAUU